UAGACUUCCAAGAAAAUCCCCUAAGCAUAUUGUUAUGGUACCCGUACCGCAAACCGACACAGGUAGUCAAGAAGAAUAUUCUAAGGCGCUCGAGUGAAUCAUGGCUAAGGAACUCGGCAAAUUAACCCUGUAACUUCGGGAGAAGGGGUGCCUCGUUCUAGCAAUAGAACAGGUCGCAGAGAAAUGGCCCAGGCGACUGUUUAACAAAAACACAUGGCUUUGCGAAAUCGAAAGAUGAAGUAUAAGGCCUGACACCUGCCCGGUGCUGGAAGGUUAAGGGGGGACGUUAGUGCGCAAGUGCGAAGCGUUGAACUGAAGCCCCAGUAUACGGCGGCCGUAACUAUAACGGUCCUAAGGUAGCGAAAUUCCUUGUCGGGUAAGUUCCGACCUGCACGAAUGGUGUAACGAUCUGGGCGCUGUCUCAGCCAUGAGCUCGGUGAAAUUGUAGUCACGGUGAAGAUGCCGUGUACCCGUCACGGGACGGAAAGACCCCAUGCACCUUUACUAUAGCUUCACAUUGGUAUUGGGAGAAUGAUGUGUAGGAUAGGUGGGAGGCGUUGAUCCAGGGCCGCUAGGUUUUGGGGAGCCAACGGUGAAAUACCACCCUUUAUUUUCUUGAUGCCUAACCUUUAAUAAGGGACAUUGUGUGGUGGGUAGUUUGACUGGGGUGGUCGCCUCCGAAAGUGUAUCGGAGGCUUUCAAAGGUACCCUCAGUACGGUUGGUAAUCGUACGUGGAGUGCAAUAGCAUAAGGGUGCUUGACUGUGAGACCGACGGGUCGAGCAGGGACGAAAUUUGGAUAUAGUGAUCCGGUGGUUCUGCAUGGAAGGGCCAUCGCUCAAAGGAUAAAAGGUACGCUGGGAUAACAGGCUGAUCUCCCCCAAGAGCUCAUAUCGACGGGGAGGUUUGGCACCUCGAUGUCGGCUCGUCACAUCCUGGGGCUGGAGAAGGUCCCAAGGGUUGGGCUGUUCGCCCAUUAAAGUGGCACGCGAGCUGGGUUCAGAACGUCGUGAGACAGUUCGGUCCCUAUCUGUGAUGGGCGUAGGAAGUUUGAGAGGAUCUGACCUUAGUACGAGAGGACCGGGUUGGACCAACUGCUGGUGUACCGGUUGUCGUGUCAGCGGCACUGCCGGGUAGCUAUGUUGGGACGGGAUAAGCGCUGAAAGCAUCUAAGCGCGAAACCCACCUCGAGAUGAGACUUCCAUUAAGGGACGUCAGAGAUGAUGACGUUGAUAGGCUGCAGGUGUAAAGACAGUAAUGUCAAAGCUGAGCAGUACUAAUUACCCUA
This 1287-nucleotide ribosomal RNA is filed under the name metagenome. Its description in RNAcentral is "bacterial LSU rRNA". It matches the Rfam family "Bacterial large subunit ribosomal RNA", at positions 1601 to 2912 of the family's 2925-position model. The record is from RNAcentral.